This is a non-coding RNA of Rattus norvegicus (Norway rat), 369 nucleotides long. The record is from RefSeq and is a predicted model, not a curated record. Lineage: Eukaryota; Metazoa; Chordata; Mammalia; Rodentia; Muridae.
GGUUCUGUAAGCAAUGGAUCAGGAAGCUGAGCAUUUGGUAUCUGCCUGCUACACAUCCAAGCUACUCAGCCUUCCUCAGAGAAGCCUCUUCAAUGAACAAUGGUAAGGCCGAGACUCACGCCUUCACAAGGUACUGAGAUUACAUGACAGAUGAGUACUGAUCCCUGAACAAGACAUCUAUACCUGUCCAGCAAAGGGGACAAGAUCUUCAGGAGCGAACUGUGAGAGAAAUGAAAUGAAGAACGAGUAAAGACCCCUAAGAGAGUCAAAGAUGAAUGAAGAUACUCUUUCCUGAGCACAGGGGCCGGCGGGAUGCAAGGCUUAACUCCCCACCAACUUCCUGCUCCAAAGAUACAAUAAUUUCUACUA